This 301-nucleotide ribosomal RNA is filed under the name uncultured bacterium. RNAcentral describes it as "partial 16S ribosomal RNA". It matches the Rfam family "Bacterial small subunit ribosomal RNA", at positions 509 to 807 of the family's 1533-position model. The record is from RNAcentral.
CAGCCGCCACGGGAAUACGAAGGGGGCUAGCGUCGCUCGGAAUGACUGGGCGUAAAGGGCGCGUAGGCGGAUUGUACAGUCAGGCGUGAAAUUCCUGGGCUUAACCUGGGGGCUGCGUUUGAUACGUAUAGUCUAGAGUGGGGAAGAGGGUCGUGGAAUUCCCAGUGUAGAGGCGAAAUUCGUAGAUAUUCGCAAGAACACCAGUGGCGAAGGCGGCUCACUGGCCCGGAACUGACGCUGAGGCUCGACAGCGUGGGGAGCAAACAGGAUUAGAUACCCGAGUAGUCCCUGUCUCUUAUAC